UACGUAGGGUGCGAGCGUUAAUCGGAAUUACUGGGCGUAAAGUGUGCGCAGGUGGCCGCGCAAGUCGAGUGUGAAAUCCCCGAGCUUAACUUGGGAAUUGCGCUCGAAACUACGUGGCUCGAGUGUGGCAGAGGGGGGUGGAAUUCCACGUGUAGCAGUGAAAUGCGUAGAGAUGUGGAGGAACACCGAUGGCGAAGGCAGCCCCCUGGGCUAACACUGACGCUCAGGCACGAAAGCGUGGGGAGCAAACAGG
This 253-nucleotide ribosomal RNA is filed under the name uncultured bacterium. RNAcentral's name for it is "partial 16S ribosomal RNA". It matches the Rfam family "Bacterial small subunit ribosomal RNA", at positions 524 to 776 of the family's 1533-position model. The record is from RNAcentral.